RNAcentral lists this ribosomal RNA (254 nucleotides) under uncultured bacterium. RNAcentral's name for it is "partial 16S ribosomal RNA". It matches the Rfam family "Bacterial small subunit ribosomal RNA", at positions 524 to 776 of the family's 1533-position model. The record is from RNAcentral.
UACGGAGGGUGCGAGCGUUGUCCGGAAUCACUGGGCGUAAAGGGCGCGUAGGUGGCUUGGCAAGCGUGUGGUGAAAGCCCGGGGCUCAACCCCGGGUCUGCCGUGCGAACUGCUAUGGCUUGAGCACUGUAGAGGCAGGUAGAAUUCCGGGUGUAGCGGUAGAAUGCGUAGAGAUCCGGAAGAAUACCGGUGGCGAAGGCGGCCUGCUGGGCAGUGGCUGACACUGAGGCGCGACAGCGUGGGGAGCAAACAGG